This 271-nucleotide long non-coding RNA is filed under the name Malus domestica (apple). RNAcentral's name for it is "long non-coding RNA (MDOM_LNC008373)". The record is from RNAcentral. Lineage: Eukaryota; Viridiplantae; Streptophyta; Magnoliopsida; Rosales; Rosaceae.
UUCGAAUCCUGAGAUCUCUCUUUUUGCCAUUCCCAACUGCCCGUUUUAACUCCUGAGAUUUUGCAUCAUUCAUCUGGGUUUCGAAGACGCGAUCCAACAAAACUGGUCUGACUUGAAAGCUGGCAAGUAGGGCUCCAUGUUGAUCCAUUUCUAAAGCCACUCCCAUAGAUCUUAGUUCAGUGAGGAGAGGAAUACGACAUGCAUAAAGAGCAUUAAGUCAGCUGUGAGAUUUCCUGCUAAGGGCAUCAACUACAGUAUUCGCAUGACCGGG